This is a long non-coding RNA of Hermetia illucens (black soldier fly), 559 nucleotides long. RefSeq lists it as uncharacterized. The transcript has 2 exons. Lineage: Eukaryota; Metazoa; Arthropoda; Insecta; Diptera; Stratiomyidae. The record is from RefSeq and is a predicted model, not a curated record.
CAAAUCAAUUUCAGUGCUCUGUAAGACCCCGCAUGGGUCGAAAGUAUUUUUGCCUAGUCACGCGCGCGACUCUCCCGUUCACUUCCAAGUGGAGUAGAAUUCAAUAAGUUCAACUACACGCGGUCUUGCGACAUUGACGACAUUUUCUUUUGCCUUGCCCGAGGACCAUCUGACGGGGGACUGCAUUUAAUAGUGUAAGCGGUGAUAACGUACAUUCACUGGAUUCAGUGAGCCCACUGGAGACAUGGCUGAUGAGCGGGAGAUGGGAUAAGAGAUCGGUUUUUGGUCUUUGGAAAUGGGCGGUUGGAGUGCAAGUUUUGGAUGAGCAACAAGUUUGCAUUCGUCUUGCUAAGUUAUUUCUUUCUAUUUUAAGUUUUUGUGUAAAAUGUCAUUACUCUUGCGUCAAUUAUUGCUAGAAGGAAAGCAUUGAACAGCAUUAUCAUCACACAGAACUUUGUGAAAACCAGGUUCCUGUUCCUGUUCCUGUUCUGAUGACGUGUCUUUAAUUUUCAUACAUUUGAAUAUCAAGUCUCCCGAAAAAUAAGAAAAUAACUUUGAA